GAUGAAGAACGUAGCGAAAUGCGAUAAGUAAUGUGAAUUGCAGAAUUCAGUGAAUCAUCGAAUCUUUGAACACACAUUGCGCCCGCCAGCAUUCUGGCGGGCAUGCCUGUUCGAGCGUCAUUUCAACCCUCGAGCCCCCCCGGGGGCCUCGGUGUUGGGGGACGGCACACCAGCCGCCCCCGAAAUGCAGUGGCGACCCCGCCGCAGCCUCCCCUGCGUAGUAGCACACACCUCGCACCGGAGCGCGGAGGCGGUCACGCCGUAAAACGCCCAACUUUCUUAGAGUUGACCUCGGAUCAGGUAGGAAUACCCGCUGAACUUAAGCAUAUCAAUAAGCGGAGGA
Molecule: unclassified non-coding RNA, 343 nt
Filed under: soil metagenome
Description: partial contains 5.8S ribosomal RNA, internal transcribed spacer 2, and large subunit ribosomal RNA
Rfam family: 5.8S ribosomal RNA (bases 1-120)
Source: RNAcentral